GGGGAAGGAGUUGAACGGCCUGGCCGAGGCGAGGCCCGCAGUGACUAGGGGCGAGGCGAGACCGGUGCCGAAGCUGGAUUCUCGGGCUUCCUCCCCUGCUAAGGCGAUGCGGCGCUUGUGAGGAGCUGGGCUCGCAGCCGCCCCCUCGGCAGGCCUAUGUCCGGAGGCACGCGUAUCUCGGGGGGCGAGGGAAGCGCCACCGGGGACAGACAAAUGAUGGUGUUCAAGCAACUUAGACUUCUUCUAUGGAAGAAUUAUAUCUUAAAGAAACGGAACAUCCUAGUAACAAUCAUAGAAAUCCUUCUACCAUUGUUGUUAUUGGGGAUUUUAAUUUGGCUUCGCCUGAUUAUUAAGUCAAAAAAAUUUAAUGCUAUCCUGUAUGAUAACCAGUUCAUUGAUGAUCUGCCCGUGUUUUUCAAAAAUCGUUCUACAGAUGACCUAUGGGAACUGGUUUAUAUUCCUUCCAACAGUGAAGUUGUGAAAGAUAUCACUGAGGAGGUGCAAAAGGCCUUACACAAAAAUUUAAGAGUUCGAGGCUUUCUCUCAGAGGAUGAUUUUAAGGAUUAUAUUAAAAAACAUGAUCAUUCUUCACAAGUGUUGGCUGCCAUUGUUUUUGACCACAUUUUUCUAAAAAGAGAUGACCCCUUGCCACUUAAGGUUAAGUAUAGUCUGCGAUUUCAUCAUUAUUCACAGAAUAAUCAGUUCAGCAAAAUUAUUCUUGGAACUUUGCAACUGACCUGGAAAACUAACAUACUUUUUCCACUCAUUCCAACCCUUGGGCCUAGAGAACCCACUUAUUCUGAUGGAGGAGAGCCUGGAUAUAUCAGAGAAGGAUUUUUGGCAGUGCAGCAUGCUGUGAACAAAGCUAUCAUGAGGUAUCAUGCACCAGAAGCUGCCAACAAUAUAUUUAACAAAAUCACAUUAAUUGUGAAGAGGUUUCCUUAUCCAGCUUUCUUUAUGGACCAUUUCCUCGAGAUUUUACAGCAUAUGCUGCCUCUGCUUCUUGUGCUGGCCUUUACUUUCACUGUACUGAAUAUCAUCCGUAGCAUUGUGCUUGAGAAGGAGAAAAAACUGAAGGAGUAUAUGCUAAUGAUGGGACUCCACAACUGGCUACACUGGUUUUCCUGGUUUCUUGUGUUUUUUAUUACCUUCUCCAUUGUUAUAUUUUUCAUCACUAUUCUCUUUCAUAUCAAGGUGAAAAAUGGUAUGGCAAUAUUCACCAAAAGUAACCCAGUUUUGAUAUUUUUCUUUCUGAUGUGUUUUGCAAUAUCCUCCAUCUCCUUUGGCUUCAUGAUCAGCACAUUCUUUAAUAAAGCCAAUUUAGCUGCUACUACAGGAGGUGUCCUCUACUUUGUUAUCUACAUCCCAUAUUUCCUUAUUGAACCUCAAUAUAGCUCGCUGUCUUAUAGACAGAAGUUAUUAUCUUGUCUCCUGUCAAAUGUUGCGAUGGCAUUAGGAAUUCUGCUCAUAGUCAACUUUGAAAAGAAAGGGAUAGGCAUGCAAUGGAAAGAGUUCAUGUCACCUAUUAAUGUAAAUGAUAACUUCACUUUAGGACAUGUGGUAUUAAUGCUACUAUAUGACUCUGUUUUUUAUGGUUUGGUGGCCUGGUAUAUAGAAGCUGUGUUUCCAGGAGAAUAUGGUAUGCCCCAGCCCUGGUAUUUCUUCUUGCUGCCUUCCUACUGGUUGAAGAAGCCAAAAAUGAUUUUAAAAGAAAAGGAGGAGGAAGAUCUUGAGAAAUCUCCACAGCAUGAAUUCUUUGAGUCUGACCCUACAGACCUGCAAGUAGGAAUAAAGAUAAAAAAUUUGUCCAAGACUUUUAAAAAGGGAAAAAAGACAAAAGAAGCUGUUAGAAACCUGAAUUUGAACUUGUACGAAGGGCAAAUCACUGUUCUCCUAGGACAUAAUGGAGCAGGGAAGACUACUACACUAUCCAUACUCACAGGUCUCUUUCCUCCUACAAGUGGACAAGUAUACAUUAGUGGGUAUGAGAUUUCACAGAAUAUGGUUCAUAUUCGGAAGAAUCUGGGUGUAUGCCCCCAGCACAAUAUCUUCUUUGAUGAAAUAACAGUUGCUGAACACCUUUCGUUUUACGCUCAGCUAAAAGGAUUGCCUAAGAAAAAAUGCCAGGAGGAAAUUGAUCAUAUCUUGGGCAUUCUUAAAAUGGAACCUAACCGCCAUGCUUUUUCAAGGACAUUGAGUGGGGGAAUGAAACGAAAGGUUUCCAUUGGUAUCGCUCUCAUAGCAGGCUCCAAGGUAGUGAUGUUGGAUGAGCCAACAUCUGGCAUGGAUCCAAUUUCUCGUAGGGCUACUUGGGAUCUACUUCAGCAGCAGAAAAGUAAACGAACAAUUAUGCUAACCACUCACUUUAUGGAUGAGGCUGACCUAUUGGGAGAUCGCAUUGCUAUCAUGGCAAAAGGGGAAUUGCAGUGCUGUGGCUCUUCACUUUUUCUCAAACACAAAUAUGGUGCAGGAUACCACUUGAUCAUAGUGAAGGAACCUAGAUGUAACAUUGAGGAAAUUUCCCAUCUGAUUCUUAAUUAUGUACCAACUGCCACAAUGGAAAGUAAUGUUGCAGCUGAAUUAUCAUUUAUCCUGCCCAAAGAAAGCUCAUACAAAUUUGAAUCUCUAUUUACUGAACUGGAAGAAAAACAGACAGAGUUAGGUAUUGCCAGCUAUGGUGUUUCUGUCACUACAAUGGAAGAAGUCUUCCUUAGGGUCAGUAAAUUGGUGGAUUCUAGCAUUGAUCUCCAAGCAAUCCAGCUCCCAACAUUGAAAUACAAGAAAAAUACAGAAGAUACAGAAGAUAGUGAAAAUCUUGAUGACUCAAGUGAAUUAGAACUGAAGAGUCUAUCUAAAAAGAAAUCUCAUGUGAAAUUAAAUACCGGAUUUUGUCUUCACUGCCAGCAGUUCUUUGCCAUGUUGGUGAAAAAGAUUAUGUAUAGUUGGCGUGAGUGGAAGAUAUUAGUCGCACAGAUUCUUUUGCCUCUGAUUUGUACUGCCCUAGGUCUUACAGCCAUCAACUAUUCUAAAAUUUCAGAUGCACCUGCUCCUUCUCUAAAAUUGUCCUUAAAUGUAUAUGGUAAGACAUUUGUGCCUUACAACUUCUCUGGAACUUCUCUGGAUCCAAAACUCAAAAAAAUCUUUCUUCAAACUUUGAAUAAUGAUGGACAUACACCCAUUCCAGUGACAGGCAACCUGGACAAAGAACUGCUUUCUAAGGCAAAAGAGAAUGAAAACUUUGAUAAUUAUUACCUUAUAGCAUUUUCCUUCAAACAAUAUGGAAAUCACACAUUAAUCACUGCUUUCUUCAACAAUCAGGCAUUCCAUACUCCUUCCAUAGUAGUAUCAGUUAUAGACAAUAUUCUAUUCAAGUUGCUUUCUGGCCCACAAGCUUCCAUUACUGUCUUCAAUCAUCCUCAGCCUCGAAGUGAAUUGCAAAUUAAAAAUGAUCAGUAUUUUGGGGGAAGCUUGGCAUUUGACAUUGCUAUCCACCUACUCUAUGGAAUGGGUUCAUUGGCCAGUACAUUUUCAAUCGUGGCAGUUAGUGAAAGAGUCAUAAAGGCAAAGCACAUCCAGUUUGUCAGUGGGGUCUAUGCUUUUAAUUUCUGGCUGUCUUCCCUGUUGUGGGAUCUCAUUAUCUUCUUCAUUCCCUGUUUGCUGCUGUUGGGGCUGUUCAAAAUCUUUGAUGUACAAGCUUUCGUUGAGGACAACCACUCUGCAGAUAUAUUGCUAAUAUUAAUGCUUUACGGCUGGUCUGUCAUUCCCCUCAUGUACCUAAUGAGCUUCUUCUUCAUGGCAAGUGUCACUGCCUUCAUAAGACUCGUCAUGUUCAACUUCUUCUCAGGAAUUGUCACCCUAAUCGUCCUUCAUAUCUUAAACAUAAAGGAACUCCAAUUGGAAAAACUCGCUAAAUUUCUGGAAAGAUUAUUCUUCCUGCUACCUAGUCACAAUUUAGGGAUGACCAUCAAAACUUUCAUCAACAACUUUGACACCAAGAAAUACUGUACUUCCUCUGAUCUUACAUUCUUUAAUUGUGAAAUUCUCAGUAUAAAAUAUGAAGAUGAUUUCUAUGCAUGGGAAACUCCAGGAAUUGGAAAAUUCUUGAUCUCACAGGUUGCCUCUGGCUUUUUUUUCUUCAAAUUGCUUUUAUUCAUUGAGGCCAACAUUCUCUGGAGAAUGAAAAUCCUACUAAGUCAUCUUUUUAGAGCUCGGAAUUGGGCACAAGUACAUAGCAAAGAAUCAGACUUUUCCAUAGAUGAAGAAGUAGAACAAGAAAGAAAGAAAAUUGAGGAAUCCUUUUCAGAGCUUUUGCAGAGUACUCCACUGGUUAUUAAACAACUCACAAAGGUAUAUGGCAGAAGAGUGCGCCUCCUGGCUGUAAACAGGAUUUCCUUAACUGUUCAGAAAGGGGAAUGUUUUGGAUUGCUUGGCUUCAAUGGAGCAGGGAAAACCACGACCUUCAAAAUGCUGACGGGGGAUGAAACAAUCACCUCUGGGACAGCCUAUAUUGAUGGCUACAACAUCAUUACCCACAUUAAAAAGGUACAACAACGAAUUGGCUACUGCCCUCAAUUUGAUGCCUUACUGGAUUACAUGACAGGACAUGAGACUUUGGUCAUGUAUGCCCGGCUUCAUGGCAUCCCUGAGCACCACAUUAAUAGCCUUGUGAAGGAUAUGCUGCAGGGGUUGCUUCUAGAAGUCCACUCAGACAAACUCAUCAAAACCUACAGUGGUGGCAAUAAGCGUAAACUGAGUGCUGGUAUUGCCCUAAUAGGAGAGCCCUCAGUCGUCUUCCUAGAUGAACCAUCCACAGGCAUGGAUCCUGUAGCCCGACGCUUGCUCUGGGAUGCAAUAACAAGGAGUCGUGAAUCUGGAAAAGCCAUUGUCAUCACCUCUCAUAGCAUGGAAGAAUGUGAGGCUUUAUGUACCAGGCUGUCCAUCAUGGUGAAAGGACAGUUGAAGUGCAUAGGCAGCCCACAGUACCUCAAAAACAAGUUUGGGAGUGGAUACACUUUGCUGGCCAAGAUCAAAAGCAGCAAUGAAAAGGACAACAUGACAAUAUUCAAAAAGUUCAUCGAAGAGACAUUCCCAGGCAGCAUCCUCGAGGAUGAGCACCAAGGGAUAGUUCACUACCACCUGCCUUUCCGGGACCUUAACUGGGCAAAGGUGUUUGGUAUCUUAGAAAAAAACAAAGAUCAAUAUGAACUGGAUGAUUACUCCAUCAGUCAGAUCUCCCUGGAGCAAAUCUUCAUGAAUUUUUUCCGCAUACAACAGCUUUCAGAAGAAGAAGGGUGAUAAGAGUAGCCACCAUCCUAUAAUGUUUCUUCAUAGUAUCAUCCCAUAUUUGUUUCACAAAAGGAAUUUGGACACAGAACUCAGUUCUGUGCCAAAAUGUGACCAGACCCCAAAUGAAAGCAAAUGUAUCUUAAGAUGAAGAAUGGAAAGUACCAUCUGGAAGAUGCAAUCACACGUGUGCCUCAGAUUAAAUUGUGUAUAAAAGUGUAGAAUAAAAUCUUAUUUUGAGA
RNA transcript from Sarcophilus harrisii (Tasmanian devil), 5525 nucleotides. It is a transcript of the gene named ATP-binding cassette sub-family A member 3-like, with no coding region annotated. Lineage: Eukaryota; Metazoa; Chordata; Mammalia; Dasyuromorphia; Dasyuridae. The record is from RefSeq and is a predicted model, not a curated record. The transcript is spliced from 33 exons.